CUAUUAAAUAAGUAAGAGUUUUUGGUGGAUGCCUUGGGUCUGGAAGUCGAUGAAGGACGCGAUUACCUGCGAUAAGCCUCGUGGAGCUGGAAAUAAGCUAUGAAACGGGGAUUUCCGAAUGGGGAAACCUAACUAGAUUAAUCUCUAGUUGCAUUCUAAUGAAUACAUAGUUAGAAUUGUGAGACACGUUGAGAACUGAAACAUCUUAGUACCAACAGGAAAAGAAAAUAAAUAAUGAUUCCCUGAGUAGCGGCGAGCGAACGGGGAAGAGCCUAAACCAACACUUGUUGUUGGGGUUGUGGGACAACUUACAUAGAGUUACAAAAUUCAUAGAUAGCAGAAGGAGUUGGAAUGCUCCACAAUAUAGGGUGAAAGUCCCGUACGCGAAAUUUAUGAAUCUCUUAGUUGAAUCCCGAGUAGGGCGGGGCACGUGAAACCCUGUCUGAAUCUGCCGGGACCAUCCGGUAAGGCUAAAUACUAACCAGACACCGAUAGUGAACUAG
This 503-nucleotide ribosomal RNA is filed under the name Mycoplasma zalophi. RNAcentral describes it as "bacterial LSU rRNA". It matches the Rfam family "Bacterial large subunit ribosomal RNA", at positions 1 to 498 of the family's 2925-position model. Lineage: Bacteria; Bacillati; Mycoplasmatota; Mollicutes; Mycoplasmatales; Mycoplasmataceae. The record is from RNAcentral.